This 569-nucleotide ribosomal RNA is filed under the name uncultured bacterium. Its description in RNAcentral is "partial 16S ribosomal RNA". It matches the Rfam family "Bacterial small subunit ribosomal RNA", at positions 355 to 1363 of the family's 1533-position model. The record is from RNAcentral.
UGGGGAAUAUUGCACAAUGGGCGAAAGCCUGAUGCAGCAACGCCGCGUGAGUGAUGAAGGCCUUCGGGUUGUAAAGCUCUGUCUUUUGGGACGAUAAUGACGGUACCAAAGGAGGAAGCCACGGCUAACUACGUGCCAGCAGCCGCGGUAAUACGUAGGUGGCAAGCGUUGUCCGGAUUUACUGGGCGUAAAGGAUGCGUAGGCGGAUUUUUUAAGUGAGAUGUGAAAACCCUAAGCUUAACUUGGGGACUGCAUUUCAUACUGGAAAUCUAGAGUGCGGGAGAGGAGAAUGGAAUUCCUAGUGUAGCGGUGAAAUGCGUAGAGAUUAGGAAGAACACCAGUGGCGAAGGCGAUUCUCUGGACCGUAACUGACGCUGAGGCAUGAAAGCGUGAGUAGCAAACAGGAUUAGAUACCCUGGUAGUCCACGCCGUAAACGAUGAGUACUAGGUGUAGGAGGUUAUCGACCCCCUUCUGUGCCGCAGUUAACACAAUAAGUACUCCGCCUGGGGAAGUACGAUCGCAAGAUUAAAACUCAAAUGAAUUGACGGGGGUCAUAGCUGUUUUCCUG